RNA transcript from Manihot esculenta (cassava), 1123 nucleotides. It is a transcript of the gene named NAC domain-containing protein 83, with no coding region annotated. The transcript is spliced from 3 exons. The record is from RefSeq and is a predicted model, not a curated record. NCBI's taxonomy places the organism in Eukaryota, Viridiplantae, Streptophyta, Magnoliopsida, Malpighiales, Euphorbiaceae.
CUGAAAGACUGAAAGAGAGAGAAGAGAGACAAAAAAACGGUAUCCUUCUUUAGAGCUGAAGAAAACGAGAGAGGAAAUAUGGUAUCCCCAUGGCUGUGUGGGUUUCGUUUCAUGGCUACCGACGAGGAACUUGUCCACUUCUAUCUUCAAAGGAAGGUGGACGGACAACCAUUGCCUCCUGAUUUGAUCACCCACUGUGAUAUUUAUGCUGGGAAUCCAUGGGAGAUCUUGGCCAAUGUCAAGAACUUUGAUGGAUACUAUUAUGUGUUCACCAACUUGAAGAGGAUGAGUAAAAACAAGAUUGACAGAAGGGCCGGUUCUGGGACCUGGAAGGGCCAAACUACUAAUCGAUUUUCUCAAGCUGAAGGGAAACCUCAGUGGGCGAGGAAAGCGUUCGUGUUUGAAGUUGACAAGAAAAAUUCAGAUGCUGUUGGCCCAAACAAUGGGCGUUGGCUUAUGGUAGAGUAUUCGGUAGGCGAUGAAGGGUUUGAUGGUAAAGUUGUGCUGUGUAAAAUUUACAACAAACAUGCAAGGGAUUUGCUCAAGGGGAAUCAGAAUCCAACAAAGAAGACGAAGAAGCAAACAUCAUGUGCUGAUGACGAUGAAGGGGAUCAGAACCCAAGGAAGAAGAAGAAACAAAAUUGCACUGCUGAUGACGAGGAAUUCCCAAUAGCGUCUGACUUCACAUCAAACAUGCCAGCAAUGCCGGCUGAAGAUGGAGCUGCCUUUUCCGCAGAUGAAGGAUUAAAUUCCCUUCUUGACUUUUCAUCAGAUCAUGAUCUAUCAUCACUUCUUUCCUCAGACAUGGACGUAGGGACUGGAACUUCACCUGGAGAUGAACUCAGUAAAUGUUUGGCAGAGAACAUCUACGACGGUGGCUUCUUCUCUUCCAUGCCACCUCUCACUACGCAAUGCAACAAAGAUAACCAAGAAAACAAAGACGACGAAAACGGCGACCACCCCUCCUCAUCGAUGCCUUCUCGCGACUUCUGGUUUCCUUGGGAGAGUUUUGCGGAAUGUUAAUUAUUGAGUAGGAACCAUACACUAAGUAGUAUGCUUAAUUUUCAGCUUCAUUGUAAAUGAGCUCGGUAGUAACAAGUAUUAAUCAAAGAUUCCACUUUCU